CAUAUUUCUCAGAUUAUGUCCUCAUAAAAAGUCAUUUUGCAGCCACUAUCAAUGAUACUGAUGUUUGCUCUCUUUUGCAGGGUACCCACUUUGGAUGGAAUGGUUCCACCUUCUAAAUCCAGCUUCUUUCUGUGUUGCCCUCCAACUUAACAUUGGAGAUUCAAUAAGCUAUGCGCCUUUGGCGUUCUGCUAUUGCAUAAACAUUGCCUUGUUGAGUUUUAUAGAUAUCCAUUUAGGCAUAUGCAUGUAUGUAUGUAUGUAGAAUGUGAAUGCUGCUGUGUCCUUCUAUGAGGAAACACUACGUUUGCUUGGCAUUUAAUCAAUUGUAUUGUAUUGUAUUGUGGUGCUCAUGGCACAUGAUUUGGGAGUGAAUAGCUAUUGUUCUUGAACCAUUGUCAGCUUAUGAGCAAUGUUCUUAGACGUGCUCUAGGCUUGCUUUAUGAGAUGGUAUCUCCCUUAUUUUAGCAAAUUAGCCAAAUCAGACCUUUCUUUUACUAGUGUUUAAACUUUAAAGGGUGUUUGUGGUGUUUUCUAUUCGAUUUUUUUUGUUUUUUCAUUUUUAAGGAUUUCAGGUGAACUUAUCAACGAAAUAAUAAAUUUAGGUUCACGAAAUGUUCUUUGUAUGCAAAAUCCGGAACCUUAAAUGUCCAAAUAUCACGGCUUUUUUCUUUCAAUAUCUGUCUUCAAAAAGGGAUUGGGACUUAAAAGAUGGAUUCAUAUGCCAUGUUAAAAUCAGCAAGAAGGAAUUCCUUGCAGAGCUUGUUAGGAUUUUAACGGUUUAAGUUGGGUUGAAACAGUAUCACAUAAUUAAAGUAAAGUGUUGAGACAAAGAUUUAAGUUGAAAAACAAAACUUCCAACAAAUUUAAGUAAAAGACAAUAAACAAGAAUCGAAGGAUUUUUAAUGGAUAAUACAACACUAACUCUCAUUUAUUGUUAAUUAAGAGAAGCAAAAGGUCUCUAGAGGGCUUCCUUGCUUAUUAAGCCAAAAAAAAACCCAGCUAAACACACUAAAACUUUGCUAGCUUCUCAGCAUCCAUUUUUUACAUGGCUACUCCACUUUCAGCGUUUGCAAUCGUGCAGGCAGCCAUCUUUGACACUUUCAUGUUCAGAUUUUCCAACCACAUACUUUGCAAAAGACAGAAGAAGGUUGUUUUCCAUGUUUCUCUUCUCCAAGUAAUUGACUUUCCAAGUACGAAACGUGAGUUUAUAGCUAACAUUCUCCCACUUAAACUCACUUUUCACAUCUUUUUUUCUUUUCAAUUAUUUCCAGCUACAUGCCGCUUACGCUAAAUUGUCGUGUGAAUCUUUUGCAUAUCGAUCCACACUAUUCUCUCCCACUACUUCUCGGUAAAAAUUAUAUUGCACUACUAUAUGUGAUUUGUCUUUGAAUGGAAGGAAAGAUUACUGGCAAUAUACAAGGCACUCUAAUUAUCAAAAUUCACAAAAAUCUCUUUUAUGUAUUUGUGCUCGAGUUCUUCAUAGCCUUUUAAUCCAAAAUCUUUUUUAUUUAUUUAUGUUCGAGCUCUUCCAUUGGCCUUUUAAUCCAAACUACUUUCUUGCAAACUUGUGUAGCUUUUAUAUAUUCAUUUUAUGUUGUAGAUAAAGCCAUAAUAGUUUGUAACUUUGACAUCUAGCUUAUGUUAAGAACAAAUAUGGUUUAACAAAAUAAACACACUUUAUACUAUAAUAUCUAAAUUAGAAUAUUGUUGAUGAAUGAAUAAUAAUUACAUUAAAAAAUUGGUUAUUGAAAGGUUAAAUCAAAUCACUCAUGAUUUUUUUAAUAUUUGAGAGAUCAUUAUAGGUUGCUAGAUAUUGCACUUGAUCUUCAAAUAUAAAUAUAUCAAUUAUUGAAUUAAUAAUAAACUAAUUUGUUUAAUUUUUUAAUUUUAUUUUAUUUAAGAUUAUGAUAUAUAUUUGGGUCAACUUAUUGGGGAAUCUAAUGAGUCAUACAUAUAAAACCCAUGGGUUAGAAAUUAAAAUGAGAUGAUUAAUCAAAUGUGACUUGAAUGUAAAUAAGUUUUAGAAAUUGAGGAUUAGAAUGUAAUUAAUAUAGAUAAUUACAAUUUUAGACCUAAAAACAAUUAAGUAAGGACUUGAUUGAAUAAAUUUAUAAAAUUAACCUAAAAUAAUAUAGAUGAUAUUAUUUAAGGAAAACAUUGAUAUUUUUCCAUUUAUAAGGUUUUUAGAUUUCUCUAUAAAUAGAAAGUUGUCUCUUAUUUUCUAAGAUGAGAACAAUACUAUAGAAAUACCUUAAACACAAAAUAAAAUAGUUAGCGCUUUAAUGUAUAGCAAUCUUUCUUUUCUAAAAGAGUUUAGAAGAUUUUUCAUUGAUGGUUCAUGUGGAUUGCUGUUAGAGGUCGAACACUUAGACGACUUGUGAUUUGCAACAACACAAUAUUUGAGUAAUUAUUCAAAGCCAAAAAAAUAUAUAUGAUCUUCAGUUAAUAUUAGUAUAAACCCUAAACAACCCUAGAUAUAUCUAACGAAAUCUUUGAGACUCUCGAAAAAAAAUUUAAAUUUACUAAUUUUGCUAUGUAUAUAUGUUUUGAAAAAUCCAACAAAUCAAGGCAUUUAUAUCCUCUGUACUUUAUUGCAAGGACUCAUACUUGUGGACAAUUUAUAAUUGACAUGAAGGGGGAAGUGGGGUAAAAAUUGGCUUCUAAGAUUUUUCUAAUGAAAUUCUUUAAAGAAAGUCAAAUCUUUUUAUCUUUUUUAUAUUAAUGAAUUUGCAUCUUUAAAACCUUGUUUUUCUAUCCCAAAAUUUUCAUAUCAAACUCUCUAAAUAAUUGAGCUUUCAAUUAUAUUGGUCUCCUCACCUGGAUUUGACUAGUUAACUCGAGUUGAUUCCGAUUAUUAUUUUUGUUCUUUUUUUAUUUGAUUUUAUUUUUAAUUUAAUCCUUAAAUAUUAGGUUAAUUGGUAAUUAAGUUUCAUAAAUUGAUUUUUAUUUGUUUUUUAUGAAGUUAUCACAAUGUUAUAACUCGGGUCACGAGUUAAACCGGUUGACUUGAUUUUUUUAGUUGAUUUUUAUUUUCAAUCUUAUCUUUUAAUAUUAAAUUUAUUAAGAAUUAAAUUUUAUAAUUUUUACCAUACUAACAUGAAUAAGCAGUGAAUGAAUACAGUUUAAUCAUUUCACUAUUUUAUAGUAGUAUUUUCUUCCUUGGCACCUUUUGUUUACAUGAUCAGUUGUGUAUUUUAAAAUUUUUAUUUUUUUUUAAAUUUUUUUAAUUUAAAAUUAUUUCAAUGUGUUUACAUUAAAAAAAUAUUUUAAAAUAUAUAAUAUUUUAAUAUAUUUCUAAAUAAAAAAAUAUUUUAAAAAAUAAUAUCUACGGUAACCAUACCUUAAUCCAGUGAAGGCAGCUGAGGUGUAUAUAUGUAGGCUAGUAGCAAACAGAACAUGUGUGUUAUCAACAGAGAAAAUGCCUUGCUUGAACAUUUCAACCAACGUUAAUCUCGAUGGCGUCAACACAUCCGCCAUCCUCUCUGAAGCCUCUUCUCAAGUGGCCAAAAUCAUCGGCAAACCCGAGUCCGUAAGAUUUUCUUUUUCCAUUUGCCUCGGAUUCUUGUAGAUACAUGCUUGUUUUUGGACUUGAUUGUUGAAAUAUGGAUAAAAUGUUAAAAUGUUGCAGGCUAGUAAAAUUAUUUGUGGGUUCCUCGGUGCAUAUAGAAAGAUUUUGAACUAUUUAAACAAUUAGCCUGCUACUAGUUUUAUAGUGGGUUUUUAGGGUUUGAUUAAUGUGUGAUCUAGCUGGUAUUAAAAUUGUUUUAGCUUGUUAGUACUAAUAAUUGUAAAUAGUUUUUGUAAUGAUGGAGGGGGAAUGGAGGUGAGUUUUUUGGUUACUGUGAAGUGUAUUUGCAUGCUCAUUUUCAAGGUGACAAGGAUAGAGUAAUAACUGUAAAUAGUUUCUAUCAACUACAUCGGAAAGAAUUUCUGGAUACUUGAGUUCUUGAUGUGGUACGGUUCUAGAAUCGUUUGAUAUGAUUGGGCUGUUGAUUUUGAACUGGAUAAGUUAAGGUUUUUACUAUCUAGUUGUGCUUUUGUUCACAAUGGACUGUACAAUGGGUUUUUUCUUUUUAAUUCCUGGGAGGUGUCUCUUUUAAAGAGUUCCCUCGGAAACUAUGAUGGUCAAAGUGUGAUUUGGCUGCAGUGUCUUGUGUAGCUUAUAAUACAGUUGAUUCUAGUAUCACUUAUUUGGCCAUGAAAGAAGAAAUGGAUUUUAUCUCUGUUUGCAUGUUCUUUGCUAGUUUAUCUCUAUAGUGGACGGGAAUUGUGUUUUGUACACCUACACCUGCAAACCUCCUUGUUUCAGUAUUUUGUGCUUUGAUGUCCGUUAUUUUUCAAUUUUUAGAACCUAGAAGUUGCAUAUUUGCAUUGAUUGAUACCACAGUUUGCUCAUAAUAUGCAUUGAUUGAUACCAUAAUUUUCUCACUGGAUGUGUCUGUUAACUAUUUUAUGUGUGUGAUCGUGCAGUAUGUGAUGAUUGUGUUGAAGGGCUCAGUACCAAUUGCAUUUGGAGGAACUGAGCAGCCAGCAGCUUAUGGUGAGUUGGUAUCUGUUGGCGGCCUUAGCGGUGAUGUGAACAAGAAACUGAGUUCUGCAAUUGCUACCAUUCUUGAGUCGAAGCUGUCAGUGCCCAAGUCACGGUUCUUCCUCAAAUUUUUUGAUUCCAAGGCAAGCCAUCUCAGCAUUUAAUUGUCAAGAAGAUAGAUCAUUUCCAUGCACACAUUUCUUCUCAUUGCAUUCUUCCUGUUUGUUUAGGCCCAUCAAAGCCAAGAAUAUGCACAGUGUUUGCAUGCUUUACACCAGCAGUAGAUCAUGUAAAUAAAUACUUACUGUUUUUAAACUGUGAGCAUUGUUAUUGAAUUCCUGGAGGAUUCAACUUAUUCUCAGAUUAUGUUCAUAUUGGCUGCCAUUUUAUGGUUUUUUCUGCCACUAAUAAUGGUUUGAUGCUUGCUGUAUUUUGCAGGGAUCCCACUUUGGAUGGAAUGGUUCCACCUUCUAAAUCCAGCUUUUCACCUGAGUUGCUCUCGGACUUGACACCAUGCGUUCAGACAGAUGUGUCUGUGGUGUUUUACUAUUGUCGAAACUUGAUUAC
Molecule: long non-coding RNA, 5095 nt
Filed under: Populus tremula
Lineage: Eukaryota; Viridiplantae; Streptophyta; Magnoliopsida; Malpighiales; Salicaceae
Description: long non-coding RNA (PTRE_LNC002559)
Source: RNAcentral